UUGAUUUCCCAUUGAAUUCACCUUCUUAUUAAAUGUUGAGAGGAGAAAGUACUAGUUAGUAAUAUAGUACAAUAUAGACAGGUAUCUAUAGAAGAAGAUAGUACAAUUAUUUCACCGGGCCUCGGCCUCAGUACUGGCAGCAAGGUUUUCAGGCAAUCUGCAAGGAUCUCUGUGUUCUGCUGGAAGUAGAAGUUCCAGUCUGGGGCGUGUUGAAACUGCCAGCUCUAAACAACAUUUGCUGUUCUCCCCUCCCCCUUUCCUCCUUCUGACCGGAAGCUCCUCCUGUUUGCAGCCAGAGUUGUUUUCUUCUUCUGAGGGCGGGAAAGUUACAGCCAGGGCUUCCUGUUUGCGACUGUGUUUAUGUUGGUGAUUUGUAUUAGAUUGACAGCAUAUAGUAUGGGCAGGUUUUCUGUUGGUGAAAUUCCUGAUGAUUUGAGGCGUUCCAAGCGUGCGCUGGGUGCUGAUGUGCCCGACGGAACAUUGGAGUGCAGGCUGGCAACUGCAGAGGAUUCUGGGCCAGGAUAAUGGAUCGGUGUGGAUGAAGGUCAGGAGGGGAAGUUUUCCCUGUUUUCUCUUCUCCUCCUCUAUAACUGGACCUACAGUUAGUCUGUCUGGACGUUCAUCUCUGGAAGCUUCCCUUUUCCCCUAACGAAAACAACAUGGGGCACCAGAAGUCUUUCAAUGGAUAAGGUGGUCACAGUCUGGAGUUCAAUCGAAUCCACAAAUGCUAUGUUUACACAGUAAUGUACUACUACCUGCACACACCCUUCUAUUCGAUUGACUAUUUAUUCCUUUGCGUGACCAAGUCACUUUACUAUAUAUUUGUAAAUACAGUGUAAUAAAGUCCAUUAUAACUACAUACUACCUCUCUUAUUGCUUCUAGCACUUGUUAAUUUUGACUACACUCAUUUUAUUGUUUUUAUUGUUAUUGACUAAUGUACUUCACCUCUUGCACCUGCAGUUAACUGUGUAUGUGACAAAUAAAAUUUGAUUUGAUUUCUUGUUCCGAAGAAAGUGAACGCAUCAGAGCCCAAGACCAUUCUG
Long non-coding RNA from Oncorhynchus mykiss (rainbow trout), 1044 nucleotides. RefSeq lists it as uncharacterized. NCBI's taxonomy places the organism in Eukaryota, Metazoa, Chordata, Actinopteri, Salmoniformes, Salmonidae. The record is from RefSeq and is a predicted model, not a curated record.